AUCAAAGGGGUUGCCAGGAGCAGAUCCUGAACCCAUCUAGCACAUCAGUCCAGAGUUGAUGACUAGGUGUCCACCUUCACAUGGGAUAAGUGUAGCUUCUUGCCUAAACACCACAUAGGGAUAUUCCUGGGAGCUCGGUAAAACUCUAGAGAGGAAAGCCAAGCAUGAGGGCCCACAGGCAGGCCUGUGAGGAGGCCCAUGUAGAGAACAACUGAAGUCUUCUGCAACUUUCCAGAUAAAGGAGCGAGCCCCUUUGGAAGCAGCACUUGCGGCCCUAAUCACGCCUUCUACUGAUAAAAGCACCUGUUAAAACCUGAUUGUACUCUCAUCAAAGACCCUGAAAUAGAACUAUCCAAUCAAGCUACUUUAAAAUUGCCAACCCACAGAAACCAUGAAAGGCCUCAUCCAAUUAAUUAAAGGCCUUCAGAGCAGAAACUGAGGACUUCUCAAGAAGAAUUUCUACGUCAAGGCUGUAGUAUCAACUUCUGCCUGUUUCUAGCCUGUCGGUCUACAGAUUUCAAAUUCACGGGCCAAAAUUGUGUGAUGCUGAGUGGUCAGAUUGGACACCAGCCUGUGAGCAGUAGUGACCUGUGUCAUAUUUAGGACAAGCCACUGAGGAGCCAGGAUGUUUUCUCCUUCUUUCCCUUCUAGACUGGAAGUAUCUUAGACACUAUCUGCCACUAAAAAUACCAUUGCCAUUAAAAAAAAAAAAAGAAAAAAAAAAAAGACAGCCCAACUAGUAGUGGACUGAUAUGAACAAAAUAAAAUCUUUUUUAUGUUAAGUAACUGAGAUUUCAAAUUUCAUCAUUUUACCAGUUUAUCCUAUCUUGAAUAAUACAUUAUCUAAAUGGAAAAGAAUCAGGUCAUGGACUUAUUAAUCAGAGGUCUUCUGGUUGUAUGCAAAUGAAAAGCCGUCUCAAUCCAUUUUUAAAAAUAGAAUGGUUUAUAUAAAUUGAGUGGUCC
This 963-nucleotide long non-coding RNA is filed under the name Mustela putorius furo (domestic ferret). RNAcentral's name for it is "lncRNA (ENSMPUG00000026752.1)". Lineage: Eukaryota; Metazoa; Chordata; Mammalia; Carnivora; Mustelidae. The record is from RNAcentral.